CUUUGAUCAUGGCUCAGGAUGAACGCUAGCGACAGGCUUAACACAUGCAAGUCGAGGGGCAGCGGGGGAGUGCUUGCACUCCCGCCGGCGACCGGCGCACGGGUGAGUAACACGUAUGGAACCUGCCCGCAGCAGGGGGAUAAGCGGAAGAAAUUCCGUCUAAUACCGCGUAACAACCUCGAGAGGCAUCUCUUGAGGUUUAAAGAUUUAUCGGCUGCGGAUGGCCAUGCGGCGCAUUAGCUAGUCGGCGGGGUAACGGCCCACCGAGGCGACGAUGCGUAGGGGUUCUGAGAGGAAGGCCCCCCACACUGGUACUGAGACACGGACCAGACUCCUACGGGAGGCAGCAGUGAGGAAUAUUGGUCAAUGGCCGAGAGGCUGAACCAGCCAAGUCGCGUGAGGGAAGACGGCCCUACGGGUUGUAAACCUCUUUUGUCGGGGAGCAAACAGCGCAACGCGCUUGCGCAUUGAGAGUACCCGAAGAAAAAGCAUCGGCUAACUCCGUGCCAGCAGCCGCGGUAAUACGGAGGAUGCGAGCGUUAUCCGGAUUUAUUGGGUUUAAAGGGUGCGCAGGCGGAGUGUCAAGUCAGCGGUAAAAUUUCGGGGCUCAACCCCGGCGAGCCGUUGAAACUGACGCCCUUGAGUGCGCGAGAAGUAUGCGGAAUGCGUGGUGUAGCGGUGAAAUGCAUAGAUAUCACGCAGAACUCCGAUUGCGAAGGCAGCAUACCGGCGCGCAACUGACGCUCAUGCACGAAAGCGUGGGUAUCGAACAGGAUUAGAUACCCUGGUAGUCCACGCAGUAAACGACGAGCACUAACUGUCCGGCCCGAAUGGGGGCUGGGUGGUACAGCGAAAGCGUUAAGUGCUCCACCUGGGGAGUACGCCGGCAACGGUGCAACUCAAAUGAAUUGACGGA
Molecule: ribosomal RNA, 916 nt
Filed under: uncultured Bacteroidota bacterium
Lineage: Bacteria; Pseudomonadati; Bacteroidota
Description: bacterial SSU rRNA
Rfam family: Bacterial small subunit ribosomal RNA
Source: RNAcentral